GAAAAGUUAUUCAUUUGUAAUUUAUUCUGCUUUCCUUGUUAGAGCGAUGGGAAUAAUGCCCUCUCCAGCUGUGCCCAUUUCUGGGCUGAUAUCAGUCACCUACUUUUUGAAGCAUCACCCAUGGUGCUAAGUUUUCAUCUGACUACAUGGAAGCAAGAAGUGUACUCCGUGCUCUACCUUACAGCUCUCUGGGGCUGUGUAUGGACAAUACUGGUCAUUGAAGCACAGAUAAAAGAACAUUCUGAAGCUCUUUGCAUUACACUCUGAGAAGCCUCAACAAUGAGUCUCAAACCAACCUAAUAAAAGAAA
Molecule: long non-coding RNA, 309 nt
Filed under: Mus spicilegus (steppe mouse)
Lineage: Eukaryota; Metazoa; Chordata; Mammalia; Rodentia; Muridae
Description: lncRNA (ENSMSIG00000002975.1)
Source: RNAcentral